UACGAAGGGGGCUAGCGUUGUUCGGAAUUACUGGGCGUAAAGCGCGUGUAGGCGGGUCUUUAAGUCAGGGGUGAAAUGCCAAGGCUCAACCUUGGAACUGCCUUUGAUACUGGAGAUCUUGAGUCCGGGAGAGGUGAGUGGAAUUGCGAGUGUAGAGGUGAAAUUCGUAGAUAUUCGCAAGAACACCAGUGGCGAAGGCGGCUCACUGGACUGGUAUUGACGCUGAGGUGCGAAAGCGUGGGGAGCAAACAGG
RNAcentral lists this ribosomal RNA (253 nucleotides) under uncultured bacterium. RNAcentral's name for it is "partial 16S ribosomal RNA". It matches the Rfam family "Bacterial small subunit ribosomal RNA", at positions 524 to 776 of the family's 1533-position model. The record is from RNAcentral.